RNAcentral lists this ribosomal RNA (465 nucleotides) under uncultured bacterium. RNAcentral describes it as "partial 16S ribosomal RNA". It matches the Rfam family "Bacterial small subunit ribosomal RNA", at positions 338 to 795 of the family's 1533-position model. The record is from RNAcentral.
CCUACGGGCGGCAGCAGUAGGGAAUCUUCCACAAUGGGCGCAAGCCUGAUGGAGCAACGCCGCGUGGAUGAAGAAGGUCUUCCGAUCGUAAAACCCUGUUUUUAGAGAAGAAAGUGCGUGAGAGUCACUGUUCACGUUUCGACGGUAUCUAACCAGAACGCCACGGCUAACUACGUGCCAGCAGCCGCGGUAAUACGUAGGUGGCAAGCGUUGUCCGGAUUUAUUGGGAGUAAAGGGAACGCAGGCGGUCUGUUAAGUCUGAUGUGAAAGCCUGCGGCUUAACCGGAGUAGUGCAUUGGAUACUGGCAGACUUGAGUGCAGUAGAGGAGAGCGGAAUUCGAUGUGUAGCGGUGAAAUGCGUAGAUAUAUGGAAGAACACCAAUGGCGAAGGCGGCUUACUGGGCUGUAACUGACGCUGAGGUUCGAAAGCGUGGGUAGCAAACAGGAUUAGAUACCCGAGUAGUC